RNAcentral lists this non-coding RNA (31 nucleotides) under Rattus norvegicus (Norway rat). Lineage: Eukaryota; Metazoa; Chordata; Mammalia; Rodentia; Muridae. The record is from RNAcentral.
ACUGGGAAUAGUCCCAUUGGUGAUCUAAGGU